AAUUGCAUUAGUAGACCAAUGACACCUCCCUGAGAAUUGCUUCACAUCAUCUCGGAAUGAAAACAAUUCCAAGAGAAGCUUCAGACUGACUCAAAGAAAAGUCAAAUAAAGAAAAAAAAUGGUUUAUAACAAAGAAAAUAGAAAGUGUUACUCUGCUCAAUGGUGAUGAGGUAGUCUUUCACUAGAGCUUUACGCCUGGCCUG
This 203-nucleotide long non-coding RNA is filed under the name Capsella rubella. RNAcentral describes it as "long non-coding RNA (CRUB_LNC002552)". Lineage: Eukaryota; Viridiplantae; Streptophyta; Magnoliopsida; Brassicales; Brassicaceae. The record is from RNAcentral.